AAAAAUGUUGAAUAUCAACAAUGGGUUUCAGUGCUGUAUUGUUGAGUUUUGUAUGAACUAAUCUAGCUUCUCUAAAAAAAAAAAAAAAAAAAAAAAAAAGAAAGAAAAGAAAGAAAGAAAAGAAAGAAAGAAAGAAAAAAAAAGAAAAGAAAAAAAAGAGAACCACAGCUUUGGACAAAAGUCUAUAGCCAGUGCAUUUGAAAACUCCCCUUGCACCAGGGCUGACUGUAGCUGGGGGAAGACAUUUUACUCAUUUGCUCUUUCCUUUCAUACAGUCAGCUGGUCCCUCUUCUCAGGUGUAGAUCACCUAUUAUAAUUUUACCUAAUUUUGAUACUCUGAUAAGGAAAGUCCCAGGACUUAUCAGCUGGGAUAGGCCUCACUUACAAGACAGCUCUGUUCAGUAUUUGGAAGAAAGCCUGACAGGUUUCUUCGGAAAAGUGGCCAUCCAUGGAAUGAAUGAAAUGUUCUCUUUCUAUUCCAAUCCAACUUAGAAAUAAUGUUUCAUUCAAGAUAAGGCUCGUGGCUUAGGAGAUUGUGACCUGGCUUGCAUCAUUCUAAGACUUCUAUCGUCUGUUUUCAAAACCCAAGGAGGACCUCCUUUUCUGUGUGAUAGUUCCUCAUGCUUUGCCAGCCACUGGGUCUUUAAGGAAGCUUGCCAAGAGUUCCCGGCUGGGAAGGACAGUUCGAGUUCAUCAUAGACAAUGAGCUGGCACCACAGUUUAAGUGACUCACCAACCUGGUUGCCCACUUCAAAAUGUCAAGAACCACACUAUCUAAUUGAAAGAACUGUGUUUUAGCAAAGUGUAAUUGGAUCGCCUGGCAAGAUCAUCUCAAACUAUGUCUCUGACCUUGCCUUUCAGUGGCUAUUUUGAGCACAAGAGGAGAAAGGAAAUGAUUCCUGAAUUAUAUCUUGUUUUUAAAAAUUAAGAUUAAUUAAUACUUGGUUUUAUGUUCAUUCCAUUGUAGGAACUUAGUGAUUAUUACAAAACAGUCAAAAUAGGUCAUAGCAAAAUGAACGUUUAAGAUUAGGUUAAAACAUUCCUCUGAAAUUUUAGUAUUCACUUUUGAAGUGUCAAUUACUAUAUUUCUGUAAUUUCUCAUUUUUUUCUUGGCUUAGAGUCAAGAUGAAAAAUGAUAUUUGAAUCAAAGACAUUGUUUUGUUAUAUAGCCACUCCUUUCUAAAAUGCAAAUCCACCCUCCCCUCACCAAUGCUUUAUUCUUUGUGCGCGCACACACACACACACACACACACACACACACACACACACACAGACAUACACAGAACCAGCACCCAAAUGGUAGAGGAGGUCCUUCCAAGACUUCUAGGACCUGGAUCAUGUAAGCAGUAGAUGAGAAAAUGAAGUAAGAGAUAUAGAGUAAUAACAAUAAAAGUCAAUGAUUUCAUUUUACAAAAAAGUCAUUGUGUAGUACUCAGAUAUUUUUAAGAGCAAGUAUUAUUAUGACUAAAGUAUAUUAUACUUCUAAAUUAUUAUGAUUCUCAUCUAAUUUCAAGCCACACAUAGGCGCCAUUUGAAAGCAUUUUGUGUUACAACCUAUCAACAAAAAUCAACUAAUAGUUUUAUAACGUGCAUAGGUUUACCCCAUGGGGAAUUAAAAUUUUUAUCUGCAAGUAUUUCUGUUGUUGUGAGACUUUAGGACAAGACAACAUUUGGUGUUAACAUAGAAGAAUAUUCUAUGGCUUUUUUAGCUUUAAAGUUCAUUACUCUAAAAUAAAGUACACGUGGUAUUUUUUUCUUCCUAGUGUUCUCUUAUUAUAUGUAGAGUAUUUUCGGUUGUUGUUUUUAACGUAUACAUUAUUUUUAUUAAGUCAUUUCAUAAAAGAUAAGAUAUAUACUAAUAGACCCUUGGUUUUCUCCUAAUUUAAUUAUUUCAAGUCAAGCAAAAUUGGGCAAUUUUCUUUCAGGAAAAAAAAAAUAUUGAGCAUGAUUUUGAGGUAAAACUGAUUAUUUACAGCAUCUUUUCUCUAAUAGGCUAACAUUUAUGAUGGAUCUUAUUUCAAAGUUGAUUAUUCUCAAAGAAAAGUGGAGAUAUUAGAAUUUCCGAGUAAAUUGCAUUGUUUUAAAAAGUACUUUAAUGCAUUGUUCACAUUGUUGCCAGCUAUUGACCAAAAAAGAGAAGAAGAAAAAAGAAAUAAAAAAAGCAGUAUCUGCUCCAAACGUCAAGUUUUGCAGUUUGAAAGACUUGUACAUUAUAAUUGUUUUUUUCUUUUUUGGAAAGCAGUAGUAAUUAAUACCAAAGGCAUAGACAAUUUAGGGCCAUAACCUCCCUUCCCCCCUCUCCACCUUUUUUUUUUUUUUUUUUUUUUUUUAACUUUAACCAUGAUAGGCAUCUCUGCAAGGUAGGUUUUAACAUAUUUUUUUCCUAAUUUUUUUCCCUCCAUUCAGUAAGAAGGAUAAGCUUUUAGAGUACCCAGUCACCGUGGUAACUGCCAAAAAAAUUCUCCUGAAGUUUGAAGAGGUCAGCUAGCAGGGUCAACAACCCUGGCCUCUCUCUGAGCUCGGUCUAGCAUGCCCCAGCCUGCGGUUGGAGUGUCAGGCCAGAUCUGACCCUGGGAGGUGGACCAUUCUGGCUCUGAUAUAAAUUUUUCGAGUCAGUUCAUGGCCUGGACUCUCCAGGUGGCCUCCAAAAUCGAUUUUGACCCCCUGACCCUGUCUCACGGAGGCAUAGCAUCCACCCUAAGUAAGGAUUUAGCCAGGAAUGACAGCUUUCCACUGAGUGUUAUUGGGGACAGUAUAAACAGUUUGGAAAGCAAGUAAGGAGGUGUGAGGGCUAGCAAUCAUUAAAAGCACAUUAAAAAACAAUUUUUAAAAAUCUUUAUUAGAGAAAGUUGUAAAUGCAUAUCUGUUACAGAAUUCCUGUGAUUUGUAGAGUUUUCUAGUCAGUUUUGAAUAUAAAUAGGUCACAUAUCUUUAUCUUUUUGCAUACUUUGUUACAAAUAUGCAAAUAAGAUAGGCAUACUUGCUACAAAAUAGGUACAGCAGGAAUGUAAUAUGUUCAGAAAAGGCAAACUGGUUAUUAAAACACAUUAACAGGUAAGGAGUUUCUAAUAUUUUAAAUACUAAAAUUUUACAUGUGUAUUUUGAAGUUUUUAAAAUGGAAAAAUAAAGAACCUUUAAAAAACCCAACAGUGUGGAAUAAAGAUAAACUUGUUGCACUCAAGGUACAUUUCUACUUUGUAAAGCAAGAAGCCAAUACACUCAGUUG
This 3226-nucleotide long non-coding RNA is filed under the name Homo sapiens (human). RNAcentral describes it as "SOX2 overlapping transcript". The stretch from base 165 to 396 matches the Rfam family "SOX2 overlapping transcript exon 1". The record is from RNAcentral. Lineage: Eukaryota; Metazoa; Chordata; Mammalia; Primates; Hominidae.